GACGAACGCUGGCGGCGUGCUUAACACAUGCAAGUCGAACGGAAAGGCCCUGCUUUUGUGGGGUGCUCGAGUGGCGAACGGGUGAGUAACACGUGAGUAACCUGCCCUUGACUUUGGGAUAACUUCAGGAAACUGGGGCUAAUACCGGAUAGGAGCUCCUGCUGCAUGGUGGGGGUUGGAAAGUUUCGGCGGUUGGGGAUGGACUCGCGGCUUAUCAGCUUGUUGGUGGGGUAGUGGCUUACCAAGGCUUUGACGGGUAGCCGGCCUGAGAGGGUGACCGGCCACAUGGGGACUGAGAUAGGGCCCAGACUCCUAGGGGAGGCAGCAGGGGGGAAUAUUGCACAAGGGGCGGAAGCCUGAUGCAGCAACGCCGCGUGCGGGAUGACGGCCUUCGGGUUGUAAACCGCUUUCGCCUGGGACGAAGGGUGAGUGACGGUAAGGGGUAAAGAAGCACCGGCUAACUACGUG
Molecule: ribosomal RNA, 468 nt
Filed under: uncultured bacterium
Lineage: Bacteria
Description: partial 16S ribosomal RNA
Rfam family: Bacterial small subunit ribosomal RNA
Source: RNAcentral